This 421-nucleotide ribosomal RNA is filed under the name uncultured bacterium. RNAcentral's name for it is "partial 16S ribosomal RNA". It matches the Rfam family "Bacterial small subunit ribosomal RNA", at positions 360 to 773 of the family's 1533-position model. The record is from RNAcentral.
AAUAUUGGACAAUGGGGGCAACCCUGAUCCAGCCAUGCCGCGUGUGUGAAGAAGGUCUUCGGAUUGUAAAGCACGUUAAGUUGGGAGGAAGGGCUUUAGGCUAAUACCCUGAAGUUUUGACGUUACCAACAGAAUAAUAACAUGAUAACUCUAGUCCAUCAGCCGCGGUAAUACGAAGGGUGCAAGCGUUAAUCGGAAUUACUGGGCGUAAAGCGUGUGUAGGCGGUUCGGAAAGCAAGAUGUGAAAUCCCAGGGCUCAACCUGGGAACUGCAUCCAAAACUGGCGAGCUAGAGUAGGGCAGAGGGUGGUGGAAUUUCCUGUGUAGCGGUGAAAUGCGUAGAUAUAGGAAGGAACACCAGUGGCGAAGGCGACUACCUGGACUGAUACUGACACUGAGGUGCGAAAGCGUGGGGAGCAAAC